AGAGUUUGAUCAUGGCUCAGAACGAACGCUGGCGGCAUGCCUAACACAUGCAAGUCGAACGAGACCUUCGGGUCUAGUGGCGCACGGGUGCGUAACGCGUGGGAAUCUGCCCUAAGGUUCGGAAUAACAGUUAGAAAUGACUGCUAAUACCGGAUAAUGUCUUCGGACCAAAGGUUUACUGCCUUAGGAUGAGCCCGCGUAGGAUUAGCUAGUUGGUGAGGUAAAGGCUCACCAAGGCGACGAUCCUUAGCUGGUCUGAGAGGAUGAUCAGCCACACUGGGACUGAGACACGGCCCAGACUCCUACGGGAGGCAGCAGUGGGGAAUAUUGGACAAUGGGCGAAAGCCUGAUCCAGCAAUGCCGCGUGAGUGAUGAAGGCCUUAGGGUUGUAAAGCUCUUUUACCCGGGAUGAUAAUGACAGUACCGGGAGAAUAAGCCCCGGCUAACUCCGUGCCAGCAGCCGCGGUAAUACGGAGGGGGCUAGCGUUGUUCGGAAUUACUGGGCGUAAAGCGCACGUAGGCGGCUUUGUAAGUCAGAGGUGAAAUCCCAGUGCUCAACACUGGAACUGCCAUUGAUACUAUUUUUCUUGAAUUUUCCGGAGGUUAGCGGAAUAUGUCAUGUAGCGGUGAAAUGCUUAGAUAUGACAUAGAACACCAAUUGCGAAGGCAGCUAACUACAGGGAUAUUGACACUGAGGCACGAAAGCGUGGGGAUCAAACAGGAUUAGAUACCCCGGUAGUCC
RNAcentral lists this ribosomal RNA (742 nucleotides) under uncultured Sphingomonas sp. RNAcentral's name for it is "bacterial SSU rRNA". It matches the Rfam family "Bacterial small subunit ribosomal RNA", at positions 8 to 796 of the family's 1533-position model. The record is from RNAcentral. Lineage: Bacteria; Pseudomonadati; Pseudomonadota; Alphaproteobacteria; Sphingomonadales; Sphingomonadaceae.